Molecule: RNA transcript, 2642 nt
Organism: Rosa chinensis
Lineage: Eukaryota; Viridiplantae; Streptophyta; Magnoliopsida; Rosales; Rosaceae
Gene name: importin subunit alpha-1b
Exons: 13
Source: RefSeq, a predicted model, not a curated record
CUCUCACUUAAAAAACAACACCCCUCAAAAUCCCGACUCUCAACGUUCCCUGCCUGCUGUGCUCUCUAAAACCCUAUUCCUCACUCUCUCUCUCUCUCUCUCUCUCUCUCUCUCACUCUUAGGGUUUCGAUUUUAUAUUCCGCAUCCAAAACGAUGUCGUUGAGGCCGAACGCGAGGGCGGAGGUCCGCCGCAACAGGUACAAGGUGGCGGUGGACGCGGAGGAGGGGCGGCGGCGCAGGGAGGACAAUAUGGUGGAGAUCAGGAAGAAUCGCAGAGAAGAGAGCCUCCAGAAGAAGCGCCGCGAGGGGUUUCAGCCGCAGCAAUUGCCGGCUAAUCUUCAGUCGCCGGCGCUGGAGAAGAAGCUAGAGCACUUACCGUCCAUGGUUGCUGGAGUUUGGAGUGAAGAGGGCACUCUGCAGCUCGAGGCAACUACUCAGUUUAGGAAGUUGCUAUCAAUUGAGCGCAGCCCUCCAAUUGAGGAAGUUAUUCAAUCUGGUGUUGUUCCUCGCUUUGUGGAGUUUCUAAUGAAGGAGAACUUUCAUCAACUUCAGUUCGAGGCAGCUUGGGCUCUCACAAACAUUGCGUCUGGGACGUCUGAGAACACAAAGGUGGUUAUUGAACAUGGUGCUGUUCCUAUCUUUGUCAAAUUACUGAGUUCUCCAAGUGAUGAUGUUCGUGAGCAGGCUGUUUGGGCGUUGGGGAAUGUUGCUGGUGAUUCCCCAAAAUGCCGGGAUCUGGUACUUGGCAGUGGAGCUCUGAUUCCAUUGUUAUCGCAGUUGAAUGAGCAUGCAAAGCUCUCCAUGUUGAGAAAUGCUACUUGGACAUUGUCAAACUUUUGCAGGGGCAAGCCACAGCCUCCUUUUGAUGAGGUUAAGCCAGCACUUCCAGCUCUAGCUCGUUUGAUUCACUCAAAUGAUGAAGAAGUCUUGACUGAUGCGUGUUGGGCUCUUUCAUACCUUUCUGAUGGUACUAAUGACAAAAUUCAAGCCGUUAUUGAGUCUGGAGUAUGCCCCAGGCUUGUUGAACUUCUGCUUCAUCCAUCUCCAUCUGUACUGAUCCCUGCUCUCCGCACAGUCGGAAAUAUUGUUACUGGUGAUGAUAUGCAAACUCAGGUGAUCAUCCAACAUCAAGCUCUUCCUUGUCUGCUGACCCUUCUGACCAACAAUUAUAAAAAGAGCAUCAAGAAGGAAGCCUGCUGGACAAUUUCAAAUAUCACAGCUGGAAACAAAGAGCAGAUUCAGGCUGUAGUCGAUGCUAAUAUAAUUGGUCCACUUAUUCAACUGCUUUCAACUGCUGAGUUUGAUAUAAAGAAAGAAGCUGCAUGGGCAGUAUCAAAUGCGACAUCUGGUGGUUCUCAUGAUCAAAUAAAGAUUCUUGUAAAUCAUGGGUGUAUCAAGCCAUUGUGUGAUCUUCUUAUCUGCCCCGAUCCAAGAAUUGUUACAGUUUGUUUAGAAGGCCUGGAGAACAUCUUGAAGGUUGGAGAAGCUGAGAAGAAUUUGGGCACAACAGGAGGUGUAAAUCCCUAUGCUCAGUCGAUUGAUGAUGCAGAGGGGUUGGAAAAGAUUGAGAAUCUACAGACUCAUGACAAUACUGAAAUUUAUGAGAAGGCAGUUAAGCUUCUCGAGACAUAUUGGUUGGAGGACGAUGACGGUGAUGAAACAAUGCCACCGGGUGAUGUUCCAACUGUUCCAGCUGGUGGUUUCAACUUCGGAGGAAAUGGUCCAAGUGUUCCGUCUGGUGGAUUCAACUUCAGUUAGAGGGAUCGGUGGCUGAAGAGAGUGCUGAGAGGAGCUGUGUUGACUGCAAGGUGACCAGGACACCAUUGUGGAGAAGUGGGCCGGCUGGUCCAAAGGAUUUUCAGACCCUGUGCAAUGCCUGCGGCAUCAGGCUGAGGAAACGACUUGCCAGUCUGAACCCAGAAGACAAAGCAAACAAGGGGAAGAGAAAGAAAUCCAGAACAGAAAGAACUAGGCCAACAGCCUCUGUCUCCACUAAUGGCUCAACAACAAACACUGCUGCUGGUAAAAGCACUUCCACAACAGCCAAAAGUGCUUCUCCUCCUCCUCCUCCUCCUCCUGCUGCUUAUGGCAAUGCUCGUGGCAGUCGCGGCACAUACUUGCUCAGGGCGGUGAGGAUUGUUGCGAAUAAACAGAGAGUGGUGAGAAAGUUGAGGUGGUGCUUCCAAAGGAGGAGGAGGACUAAUUUUAGGAGGACUGGUUUUUACUUCUUUGACAAAAAUGUGGAACAAGCAGCUGUGGCGGCGUUGCUAGCUCUCUCAUGUGGCUCCUCUCUUGAUUGAAAGAGAGUAACACUGUGAAUUUGUGGAAGGCUUAUCGAAGAGUAAUAUAAAACUCUGACCAAAAUCUUUUGAGAUAGUUACUUUUUACUGAUUUAGAGUAAGGGCAACUAUGAUAUUUACCCUACCCUUGUUGAUGGUAUUUUGGUGGGUUAUUUAGUCUACAGACGUGUUAGUAUUUGGAGGAAGUAGGAAAAGGAAGGUAGUAAUCUGGGGAUGUCAUGGAAGUAGAGAGGAAAUGGAGGGAAUGACAUUCCUGUAUUUUGGGGGUAACCAGCUCUAAUUAUAUAUUGUAUAUGGUACUAUGGGAAGAAUGUGAGUAAUCAAUGAAGAUCUUAUUACGUA